Long non-coding RNA from Lolium rigidum, 336 nucleotides. RefSeq lists it as uncharacterized. Lineage: Eukaryota; Viridiplantae; Streptophyta; Magnoliopsida; Poales; Poaceae. The transcript has 2 exons. The record is from RefSeq and is a predicted model, not a curated record.
GAAGCAUUGUCUGCUGAACAUGUAUAAUGAGAUUUUGAAACAUGUUUUGUUUUUUUCAUGUACCAAGCACAUUCCCGCUUACAGACACUCGACAUUACAGAUGAGGACAGGCUUAUAGAUGGAAAUAAAUGAAGUAUGCUUAGAAGGAGACAAACAAUGCCAAAUCCCUGGAGAGCCAUGGGGCGUUCAAGGCAGUUCAAGGACUGGUGCUGAGUUUCCUAGUUGAUUUGCAGCAUCUUUUCUUUGAACUAGCAAAAAAUAUGAUGCUGGCAUGCAAAUUGCUCAAUGUAACCUCUUAACACCAUCGUGUUGAAUUGUUGUACAUAAGUGCGUAAA